GGAGAGGUUAAACUGCUAGAGGAGGGAGUAGGAGAAAAGAAACUUAAUCUAAAAAGAUGGCGACUAAAACAGGCACACGGAGAAAUAAAUGGACUAAAGCAACAGGGCUGGCUCUGACAGGAAGCGGGGAUUCAGGACUUCAAAUACAAACAUUAUGAAAAACAAGCAACAUCUGCAAACACACCCUUCAAGUUCCAGAGGGAAAAACACAUCAGUGCUGCUGUGUCUUUAUCCUGUGGAAUCUAAACUAGAAUUGAGCGUGUUGCAGGCAAUCAAUAUUACUGUGCAAAUUAG
Aquila chrysaetos chrysaetos is the source of this 294-nucleotide long non-coding RNA. RefSeq lists it as uncharacterized. The transcript has 3 exons. The record is from RefSeq and is a predicted model, not a curated record. Lineage: Eukaryota; Metazoa; Chordata; Aves; Accipitriformes; Accipitridae.